This 278-nucleotide long non-coding RNA is filed under the name Homo sapiens (human). RNAcentral describes it as "non-protein coding lnc-ADGRV1-4:3". The record is from RNAcentral. Lineage: Eukaryota; Metazoa; Chordata; Mammalia; Primates; Hominidae.
GUACAACAAGCUCUGUGGUUUUAUUUCUCCUAAAUGGGAGGAAACAUAGAGAGGAAGAAAAGUAUGCAAUCUCAGUUGCAAAUGGAGGCAGGGGCUCACCAUGUUCUCUGAUACGAUUGUACCGCCCAUUGGUAAGAAUCAGAGGCUGAAAAGAUUCUGUUACUGAAACUCAACACUUAGUUGAUACCUGCUACAACUUUAACUACUCGUUGACUGUUUACGGCUUUUGCUGUAAGUUGGAGUAUGGUGACAAACACACAAGUAAGUUUGCAAAGGCA